RNAcentral lists this ribosomal RNA (253 nucleotides) under uncultured bacterium. RNAcentral's name for it is "partial 16S ribosomal RNA". It matches the Rfam family "Bacterial small subunit ribosomal RNA", at positions 524 to 776 of the family's 1533-position model. The record is from RNAcentral.
UACAGAGGUCCCGAGCGUUGUUCGGAUUCACUGGGCGUAAAGAGUGUGUAGGCGGUGUUCUAAGUCUGGUGUGAAAUCUCCCGGCUCAACUGGGAGGGUGCGCUAGAAACUGGAAUGCUAGAGGAUGGGAGAGGUAAGCGGAAUUCCUGGUGUAGCGGUGAAAUGCGUAGAUAUCCGGAAGAACACCGGUGGCGAAGGCGGCCUGCUGGGCUAUGGCUGACACUGAGGCGCGACAGCGUGGGGAGCAAACAGG